CAAUAACAGGUCUGUGAUGC
This 20-nucleotide non-coding RNA is filed under the name Arabidopsis thaliana (thale cress). Lineage: Eukaryota; Viridiplantae; Streptophyta; Magnoliopsida; Brassicales; Brassicaceae. The record is from RNAcentral. RNAcentral also lists the same sequence under 1 other name.